GGGGAGCAUUUAAAGUUGAAAUGUUGCCUGAUAUACCCUUCCUAUAACAAGUCAAAAGUCUCGACUUUUCCUGCUUGUUGUACACGAGUCAUGUUCACAAGCCUCCGGAUUAUGAGAUACAUA
This is a non-coding RNA of Helianthus annuus (common sunflower), 123 nucleotides long. NCBI's taxonomy places the organism in Eukaryota, Viridiplantae, Streptophyta, Magnoliopsida, Asterales, Asteraceae. The record is from Rfam.